RNAcentral lists this long non-coding RNA (545 nucleotides) under Capsella rubella. RNAcentral's name for it is "long non-coding RNA (CRUB_LNC000392)". Lineage: Eukaryota; Viridiplantae; Streptophyta; Magnoliopsida; Brassicales; Brassicaceae. The record is from RNAcentral.
AAUUCAUUGUAUUAUAACAUAUUCUAACCCAAAAUAACUAUAUACAAGCCAUUCACUGCAUCAAAGCAAUGGUUUUGGGUUCUUAUCCCAUAUGGGACCAAAUAUCAACAAGUCUUUCUUCUAACUUUUAAACAUUCUUCAUGCAUCUCUAGCACUUGUAAUCAAUCAAAUUAAUUGUAUUAUAACAUAUUCUAACCCAAAAUAACUUUAUACAAGCCAUUCACUUCGUCAAAGCAAUGGUUUUGGGCUCUUAUCCUAUUUGGGACCAAAUAUCAACAAGUCUUUCUUCUCAAUUUGAAACAAUCUUCAUGCAUCUCUAGCACUUGUAAUCAAUCAAAUUCAUUGUAUUAUAACAUAUUCAAACCCAAAAUAACUUUACACAAGCCAUUCACUUCCUCAAAGCAAUGGUUUUGGGCUCUUAUCCCAUUUGGGACCAAAUAUCAACAAGUCUUUCUUCUCACUUUUAAACAUUCUUCAUGCAUCUCUAGCACUUGUAAUCAAUCUAAUUCAUUGUAUUAUAACAUAUUCAAACCCAAAAUAACUUU